AACGAAAUACGGUUCGGCGACCACAGCCAC
RNAcentral lists this small RNA (30 nucleotides) under Bombyx mori (domestic silkworm). RNAcentral describes it as "ovarian small RNA-10376". Lineage: Eukaryota; Metazoa; Arthropoda; Insecta; Lepidoptera; Bombycidae. The record is from RNAcentral.